UCAUCCAAUUAAACCACAAA
RNAcentral lists this microRNA (20 nucleotides) under Gallus gallus (chicken). Its description in RNAcentral is "gga-miR-1740-3p". The record is from miRBase by way of RNAcentral. Lineage: Eukaryota; Metazoa; Chordata; Aves; Galliformes; Phasianidae.